AUGAAGCUCCUAUGUUGGAACAUCAGGGGCUUCGGCCUCACUGGCCGGAGGCGUGAGCUCAUCGAGUAUUUGCGCCAGGAGGAGAUUGACAUUGUGGGCUUGCAAGAGAGGAUUCGCCAAGACUUUAGUAUGCAUGAGCUCCAUGGGCUGUCCCACCACCAGUUUGCCUGGCAGUGUUUACCUUCUUCGGGGUAG
Molecule: ribosomal RNA, 195 nt
Filed under: Triticum aestivum (bread wheat)
Lineage: Eukaryota; Viridiplantae; Streptophyta; Magnoliopsida; Poales; Poaceae
Description: partial small subunit ribosomal RNA
Source: RNAcentral